This 260-nucleotide unclassified non-coding RNA is filed under the name uncultured fungus. RNAcentral describes it as "partial contains small subunit ribosomal RNA, internal transcribed spacer 1, and 5.8S ribosomal RNA". The stretch from base 1 to 73 matches the Rfam family "Eukaryotic small subunit ribosomal RNA", at positions 1759 to 1831 of the family's 1831-position model. Lineage: Eukaryota; Fungi. The record is from RNAcentral.
ACAAACUUGGUCAUUUAGAGGAAGUAAAAGUCGUAACAAGGUUUCCGUAGGUGAACCUGCGGAAGGAUCAUUACUGAGUGCGGGCCCUCUGGGUCCAACCUCCCACCCGUGUCUAUUGUUACCCCGUUGCUUCGGCGGGCCUGCCCGCCGAAGACCCCCAACGAACGCUAUCUGUAGAGUGCUGUCUGAGCGAAUUAGCGAAAUUAGUUAAAACUUUCAACAACGGAUCUCUUGGUUCCGGCAUCGAUGAAGAACGCAGC